This 522-nucleotide unclassified non-coding RNA is filed under the name uncultured Glomeromycotina. RNAcentral describes it as "SSU rRNA". It matches the Rfam family "Eukaryotic small subunit ribosomal RNA", at positions 569 to 1092 of the family's 1831-position model. The record is from RNAcentral. Lineage: Eukaryota; Fungi; Glomeromycota.
AGCAGCCGCGGUAAUUCCAGCUCCAAUAGCGUAUAUUAAAGUUGUUGCAGUUAAAAAGCUCGUAGUUGAAUUUCGGGGUUAGUAGGUUGGUCAUGCCUCUGGUAUGUACUGGUCUCACUGAUUCCUCCUUCCUGAUGAACCGUAAUGCCAUUAAUUUGGUGUUGCGGGGAAUUUGGACUGUUACUUUGAAAAAAUUAGAGUGUUUAAAGCAGGCUAACGCUUGAAUACAUUAGCAUGGAAUAAUGAAAUAGGACGUUCGAUCCUAUUUUGUUGGUUUCUAGGAUUGACGUAAUGAUUAAUAGGGAUAGUUGGGGGCAUUAGUAUUCAAUUGUCAGAGGUGAAAUUCUUGGAUUUAUUGAAGACUAACUACUGCGAAAGCAUUUGCCAAGGAUGUUUUCAUUAAUCAAGAACGAAAGUUAGGGGAUCGAAGACGAUCAGAUACCGUCGUAGUCUUAACCAUAAACUAUGCCGACUAGGGAUCGGAUGAUGUUAAUUUUUUAAUGACUCAUUCGGCGCCUUACG